CAGCAGCCGCGGUAAUACCGGCGGCCCGAGUGGCGGUCACUAUUAUUGGGCUUAAAGCGUCCGUAGCCGGGUUGGGAAGUCCUCCGGGAAAUCUGGCCGCUUAACGGUCAGAAUGCCGGAGGAUACUCCCAGCCUAGGGAGCGGGGGAGGCCGAGGGGAUUCCCGGAGUAGGGGGGAAAUCCUAUAAUCCCGGGAGGACCACCGGUGGCGAAGGCGCUCGGCUGGAACGCGUCCGACGGUGAGGGACGAAGGCCAGGGGAGCAAACCGGAUUAGAUACCCGGGUAGUCCUGGCUGUAAACGAUGCGGACUUUGUGUCGGACAAGCUAUGAGCUUGUCCGGUGCCGGAGGGAAACCGUUAAGUCCGCCGCCUGGGGAGUACGGCCGCAAGGCUGAAACUUAAAGGAAUUGGCGGG
Molecule: ribosomal RNA, 414 nt
Filed under: uncultured microorganism
Description: bacterial SSU rRNA
Rfam family: Archaeal small subunit ribosomal RNA
Source: RNAcentral